RNAcentral lists this long non-coding RNA (754 nucleotides) under Fukomys damarensis (Damara mole-rat). RNAcentral's name for it is "lncRNA (ENSFDAG00000024380.1)". Lineage: Eukaryota; Metazoa; Chordata; Mammalia; Rodentia; Bathyergidae. The record is from RNAcentral.
AGGCGGCUUUGGGGGCCUUCGUACCUCUAAACUGUAACAGAAGUAGAAGACGCAUUCGGCCCAGUCCAGCUGCCGACAGAGACAAACGCACAGGCUAGGGCCUGGGCAGGACCAGGGAAAGAGUGUGUCCCCAACAAGAUCUCCAGCAGGCCCCGGAUUCGACUCCACAGUCCUGAGGACGACUUCCCAUUUCCUGCUGGAACUCUGGUGCUCUAGCUUGCUGCCCACCUACUCAGCGGGGGAAAGGACGUUUCAGGCCCUGACUCCUCAUGCCCAGGAGGAUGCCAUGGGGACCAGCAGCUGCCAAGGACAACUGAGCAUUUGCCACGUGUCUUCGUGAGGAAACAGGCACAGACUGGCUAAGAGACUUACCCAAGGUUGCAGAGCUGGUGAACACAAGAAGUGGAACCCGGCAGCGGGUGCAGAGGCCUGCUCCUGUCCUGCCUCUCCAAGAAGUUGGCUGGGCAGGUGAGGCCUGAUGCACGCCCAGGCCUCUGACAAGUGGCCUUAAGAAAGUGGGUCUCCUUGCUGUGUCCCUGGAAGGAAGAAACGGAGCCCGGAACUCUUCCCUUCGUGUUUCCUUCUGCCGAGGAGCUGAGGCCCUCCUGGGGGAGGGGUGGGCAGGCAGCGCUUCCGCUGCACAGGUGGGCACUCAGGGCCAGGCAGACACCUCAUUAGCAGCUCCUGAUCAGCUGCAUCCAGAGGGGAAGGUGAACCAUACCAGCUUCUGGGUGGGCCGGGAGGAGUGGCCCGC